Molecule: ribosomal RNA, 253 nt
Filed under: uncultured bacterium
Lineage: Bacteria
Description: partial 16S ribosomal RNA
Rfam family: Bacterial small subunit ribosomal RNA
Source: RNAcentral
UACGUAGGGUGCAAGCGUUGUCCGGAAUUAUUGGGCGUAAAGGGCUCGUAGGCGGUCUGUCACGUCGGGAGUGAAAACUCAGGGCUUAACCCUGAGCCUGCUUCCGAUACGGGCAGACUAGAGGUAUGCAGGGGAGAACGGAAUUCCUGGUGUAGCGGUGAAAUGCGCAGAUAUCAGGAGGAACACCGGUGGCGAAGGCGGUUCUCUGGGCAGUAACUGACGCUGAGGCGCGAAAGCUAGGGGAGCAAACAGG